CGGUGUUCAACUGGCGUGUCCGCGGGGCGUCCUGCCGGUGGGCUUAGCCCGCAAGGGCGGCCCAACUUCAAAUCCCAUCGCGGUGCUCUUCACUGAGUGUCGAGGUGGGCCGGCACGUUUACUUUGAACAAAUUAGAGUGCUUAAAGCAGGCUAAAACUUCGCCUGAAUACUGUGUGCAUGGAAUAAUGGAAUAGGACCUCGGUUCUAUUUUGUUGGUUUUCGGAACCCCGAGGUAAUGAUUAAUAGGAACGGAUGGGGGCGUUCGUAUUGCGACGUUAGAGGUGAAAUUCUUGGAUCGUCGCAAGACGGACAGAAGCGAAAGCAUUUGCCAAAAACGCUUUCAUUGAUCAAGAACGAAAGUUAGAGGUUCGAAGGCGAUCAGAUACCGCCCUAGUUCUAACCAUAAACGAUGCCAGCUAGCGAUCCGUCGACGUUCCUCCGAUGACUCGACGGGCAGCUUCCGGGAAACCAAAGCUUUUGGGUUCCGGGGGAAGUAUGGUUGCAAAGCUGAAACUUAAAGGAAUUGACGGAAGGGCACCACCAGGAGUGGAGCCUGCGGCUUAAUUUGACUCAACACGGGAAACCUCACCAGGCCCGGACACCGGAAGGAUUGACAGAUUGAGAGCUCUUUCUUGAUUCGGUGGGUGGUGGUGCAUGGCCGUUCUUAGUUGGUGGAGCGAUUUGUCUGGUUAAUUCCGAUAACGAACGAGACUCUAGCCUGCUAACUAGGCGUAUUUUCGACAUCUCAAAGGUCCGUCGUCCCGGCCCUCGGGUCGUGGGCGUGCGCGAUUUUUACUGUCGGCGUACUAUCAAUUCUUCUUAGAGGGACAGGUGGCUUCUAGCCGCACGAGAUUGAGCAAUAACAGGUCUGUGAUG
This 877-nucleotide ribosomal RNA is filed under the name uncultured eukaryote. Its description in RNAcentral is "SSU rRNA". It matches the Rfam family "Eukaryotic small subunit ribosomal RNA", at positions 636 to 1469 of the family's 1831-position model. The record is from RNAcentral.